AGGGGCCGGGCAGGCGUGGAUCUGGGCAGUGAAGGCGUGUGUGAGCCACAGGCACUGUAUGACCUAUGGGAUGGCAGCAGAGCCAGGAUCAGAGGAUCCCAGAGGGCCUCUGGAAGGCAGAGUGCAGUGACCCUGCAGGAAGCUUGGACAGGAGGACCAGACCCGGCCCUGGCUCCUACUCUACUCCAACCCCAGGCACGCACUGAGCCCUGGCCCCGUCCCCUGUGGACCGUAUGGAGGGUGAGACCACGGGAUGGGUGUCCGCAGUGCCCUCUAGGAUGCUGUCCCCCGACACGGCACCAUGGUGCUACCUCCUCCAGCAUCACGAUUCUGCCUCACCAGCACCACAGCCUUGCCUCCAGGGCCAUGGCCCCAGACAGUGGCCACUGCCUCACUGGCUGUGAGUGUGCGCGGGGCCUCCUUCAUCACACUCAGAGAAGAGGGACCCUGGGCUUCACCGGAUGAAACUGGUAAGGGGUGGGGUGGGCAGACCACCAGAGAGCGGUGACCCUCACUGUACCUCAUUCCUGCGGUGCCCCCCGACAAGCCUCUGAGGGAAGGUCCCAUCCUUGCCAUUUUCCGUGAGGAGCCUGAGUGAGCAAAGGGCGGAGGCGACCCUGACCCCAGAGCGAGAUGGCUGUGUCUCCCCGCCCUCCUUGCACUCCCCUUUCGCUUGCAGUUCCCUGGGGCAUUUGCCCUGGGGCCACCAGGGGAGAGGGGUCCGGCCCUCAGACUGUCCAGAAACACCUGGAGGGGUGGGCCCCUGCCACCUGCCCCUUGCCCACACAGCGCAGGGCUGUUGCCUGCGCACCUGACAGCUCCAGAGCUCCCGCGGCCCCGGACGAGCUCUGUCCAAGGUGCUGAAGGAGAAGCGCUGAGCCCUAGGUGGUUUUGCUGCUCACUGAUGUCCCCGCAAGGGCCAGGAAGGGUCAGGAACGACUUGGGUCUGAGGAAGUCGACCUGGGCCCCCCGGGGAGCUGUCGUGUGUGUGUCCCAGUCGACAACGAGUGAGGAACUGAGGCCUCUGCCAGACGCUGUGUGACUAAGCUUAGAAGCAGACGCCUCCUCAGUGGAACCCUCAGAUGACCCAGCCCAGCUGGCACCUCCACUGUAGCUCAGAGCCACCCUGAGCUGAGCCCCUUAUGAGUUCCUGAUUAAAGAAACCGAGAGAGUAC
Molecule: long non-coding RNA, 1175 nt
Organism: Macaca mulatta (Rhesus monkey)
Lineage: Eukaryota; Metazoa; Chordata; Mammalia; Primates; Cercopithecidae
Source: Ensembl